AUAUGUUAAGUGGAAAAGGAUGUGGCGUUGCCCAGACAACUAGGAUGUUGGCUUAGAAGCAGCCAUCAUUUAAAGAGUGCGUAAUAGCUCACUAGUCGAGUGACACUGCGCCGAAAAUGUACCGGGGCUAAACAUAUUACCGAAGCUGUGGAUUGUCCUUUGGACAAUGGUAGGAGAGCGUUCUAAGGGCGUUGAAGCAUGAUCGUAAGGACAUGUGGAGCGCUUAGAAGUGAGAAUGCCGGUGUGAGUAGCGAAAGACGGGUGAGAAUCCCGUCCACCGAUUGACUAAGGUUUCCAGAGGAAGGCUCGUCCGCUCUGGGUUAGUCGGGUCCUAAGCUGAGGCCGACAGGCGUAGGCGAUGGAUAACAGGUUGAUAUUCCUGUACCACCUAUAAUCGUUUUAAUCGAUGGGGGGACGCAGUAGGAUAGGCGAAGCGUGCGAUUGG
RNAcentral lists this ribosomal RNA (445 nucleotides) under Staphylococcus aureus. RNAcentral describes it as "partial 23S ribosomal RNA". It matches the Rfam family "Bacterial large subunit ribosomal RNA", at positions 1054 to 1501 of the family's 2925-position model. Lineage: Bacteria; Bacillati; Bacillota; Bacilli; Caryophanales; Staphylococcaceae. The record is from RNAcentral.